Molecule: ribosomal RNA, 460 nt
Filed under: uncultured bacterium
Lineage: Bacteria
Description: partial 16S ribosomal RNA
Rfam family: Bacterial small subunit ribosomal RNA
Source: RNAcentral
CCUACGGGAGGCUGCAGUGAGGAAUAUUGGUCAAUGGACGAGAGUCUGAACCAGCCAAGUAGCGUGAAGGAUGACUGCCCUAUGGGUUGUAAACUUCUUUUAUAUGGGAAUAAAAUGUUCCCCGUGGGGGAUUUUGUAUGUACCAUAUGAAUAAGGAUCGGCUAACUCCGUGCCAGCAGCCGCGGUAAUACGGAGGAUCCGAGCGUUAUCCGGAUUUAUUGGGUUUAAAGGGAGCGUAGGUGGAUUGUUAAGUCAGUUGUGAAAGUUUGCGGCUCAACCGUAAAAUUGCAGUUGAAACUGGCAGUCUUGAGUACAGUAGAGGUGGGCGGAAUUCGUGGUGUAGCGGUGAAAUGCUUAGAUAUCACGAAGAACUCCGAUUGCGAAGGCAGUUCACUGGACUGCAACUGACACUGAGGCUCGAAAGUGUGGGUAUCAAACAGGAUUAGAUACCCGAGUAGUC